UUAAAUUGAAGAGUUUGAUCAUGGCUCAGAUUGAACGCUGGCGGCAGGCCUAACACAUGCAAGUCGAACGGUAACAGGAAGCAGCUUGCUGCUUUGCUGACGAGUGGCGGACGGGUGAGUAAUGUCUGGGAAACUGCCUGAUGGAGGGGGGUA
RNAcentral lists this ribosomal RNA (153 nucleotides) under Salmonella enterica subsp. enterica serovar Braenderup. RNAcentral's name for it is "partial 16S ribosomal RNA". It matches the Rfam family "Bacterial small subunit ribosomal RNA", at positions 1 to 145 of the family's 1533-position model. The record is from RNAcentral. Lineage: Bacteria; Pseudomonadati; Pseudomonadota; Gammaproteobacteria; Enterobacterales; Enterobacteriaceae.